Molecule: ribosomal RNA, 152 nt
Filed under: uncultured Leucobacter sp.
Lineage: Bacteria; Bacillati; Actinomycetota; Actinomycetes; Micrococcales; Microbacteriaceae
Description: partial 16S ribosomal RNA
Rfam family: Bacterial small subunit ribosomal RNA
Source: RNAcentral
GGGGAUUUGCCAUGGGCGCAGCCUGAUGCAGCAACGCCGCGUGAGGGAUGACGGCCUUCGGGUUGUAAACCUCUUUUAGUAGGGAAGAAGCGAAAGUGACGGUACCUGCAGAAAAAGCACCGGCUAACUACGUGCCAGCAGCCGCGGUAAUA